CCUACGGGGGGCAGCAGUGGGGAAUAUUGCACAAUGGGGGAAACCCUGAUGCAGCGACGCCGCGUGAGUGAAGAAGUAUUUCGGUAUGUAAAGCUCUAUCAGCAGGGAAGAAAUAGCGACCUUUGGGUCGCCAGACGGUACCUGACUAAGAAGCUCCGGUUAACUACGUGCCAGCAGCCGCGGUAAUACGUAGGGGGCAAGCGUUAUCCGGAUUUAAUGGGUGUAAAGGGAGCGUAGACGGCAGCACAAGGAUGAAGUGAAAUGCCGGGGCUUAACCCCGGAACUGCUUUGGAAACUGGGCAGCUAGAGUGCAGGAGAGGUAAGUGGAAGUCCUAGUGUAGCGGUGAAAUGCGUAGAUAUUAGGCGGAACACCAGUGGCGAAGGCGGCUUACUGGACUGUAACUGACGUUGAGGCUCGAAAGCGUGGGGAGCAAACAGGAUUAGAUACCCCAGUAGUC
Molecule: ribosomal RNA, 458 nt
Filed under: uncultured bacterium
Lineage: Bacteria
Description: partial 16S ribosomal RNA
Rfam family: Bacterial small subunit ribosomal RNA
Source: RNAcentral